This 199-nucleotide long non-coding RNA is filed under the name Elaeis guineensis (African oil palm). RNAcentral describes it as "long non-coding RNA (EGUI_LNC067737)". The record is from RNAcentral. Lineage: Eukaryota; Viridiplantae; Streptophyta; Magnoliopsida; Arecales; Arecaceae.
GCCCCAUAAUAACUUUCAAGGAAUAUUAAUUAAGGACUUUGCACCCUUAAUUUAUUUGAUCCAAAAUCUUAGACACCCAAUAAUUGGAGUCCAAUGAAUCUAAUUCAUAUAGAUUAUUAGUAGAUAAUUAAGUUUGAAUUAUCUUAUCAAAUAAAAAAUUCAAAUGAAAAGGGAAAAUUGGGUCCAACCAUGCGCUAGC